UAGCUUGAUCCUGGCUCAGGACGAACGCUGGCGGCGCGCUUAACACAUGCAAGUCGAGCGAGAACCAGGGCUUCGGCUCUGGGGACAGCGGCGAACGGGUGAGUAACACGUGGGUAAUCUGCCCUCGGUACUGGGAUAGCCCGGGGAAACCCGGAUUAAUACCGGAUGGCCCUUUGAGUCCUUGGACCUGAAGGAAAAGGUAGCUUCGGCCUCCGACCGAGGAUGAGCCCGCGGCGGAUUAGCUUGUUGGUGGGGUAACGGCCUACCAAGGCUCCGAUCCGUAGCUGGUCUGAGAGGACGAUCACCCACACUGGGACUGAGACACGGCCCACACUCCUACGGGAGGCAGCAGUGGGGAAUCUUGUCCAAUGGGCGAAAGCCUGAGACAGCGACGCCGCGUGCGGAAAGAAGGCCUUCGGGUUGUAAACCGCUUUCAGGAGGGACGAACCCACUCGGGUUAAUAGCCCAGAGGGUGACGGUACCUCCAGAAGAAGCCCCGGCUAACUACGUGCCAGCAGCCGCGGUAAUACGUAGGGGGCAAGCGUUGUCCGGAUUUAUUGGGCGUAAAGAGCGUGUAGGCGGCUAGAUAGGUCCGUUGUGAAAAUUCGAGGCUCAACCUCGAGACGUCGAUGGAAACCAUCUGGCUAGAGUCCGGAAGAGGAGAGUGGAAUUCCUGGUGUAGCGGUGAAAUGC
RNAcentral lists this ribosomal RNA (693 nucleotides) under uncultured bacterium. RNAcentral describes it as "bacterial SSU rRNA". It matches the Rfam family "Bacterial small subunit ribosomal RNA", at positions 9 to 689 of the family's 1533-position model. The record is from RNAcentral.